RNAcentral lists this long non-coding RNA (699 nucleotides) under Astyanax mexicanus (Mexican tetra). Its description in RNAcentral is "lncRNA (ENSAMXG00005001640.1)". Lineage: Eukaryota; Metazoa; Chordata; Actinopteri; Characiformes; Acestrorhamphidae. The record is from RNAcentral.
CUGUGGUGAUGGUGUGGUAUGUCUGUGGUGAUGGUGUGGUAUGUGUGUGGUGAUGAUGUGGUAUGUGUUUGGUGAUGGUGUGGUAUGUGUGUGGUGGUGGUGUGGUAUGUGUGUGGUGAUGAUGUGGUAUGUGUUUGGUGAUGGUGUGGUAUGUGUGUGGUGAUGGUAUGGUAUGUGUUUGGUGAUUGUGUGGUAUGUGUUUGGUAAUGGUGGUGUGUUUGUGUUUCUCCAGAUGAAGAGAAGAGUGCGGUAGCUCUCAGUCCCGCCCGGCCUCAUUCCCACAGUCCAUUUGGGCUGCUGUCUGUGCUUCCCACCGCGCCGCCUCGGCCAGGCCCCGCACCCACACAGCUACCGCACACGCACCUGCAGCUUCAGCACCCGCACACCGCUCUGCAGCUACAGAGCACAAAGUCAAGGGGCUCAAAGCACAAGUCGAGACGGAAAUCCAAAAAGCAGAGAAAGCCGUCUACUUCCAGUCGAGUUCCUGUAGGAACAGCGGCUCCUCAUCACAACCUGAACGACCUCAUCGUGAUCCACGGGAUUCCACUGCAGCAGAGGAACCCUGGAGUUCUGGACCGAGCAGCUCAGUAAUCACACUCUGCUUCUCUCUGUUAGAAAUACAGAAGAUGAUCAUCACACUGUUUAUAGGGGUUGAGGGGCGGAGUUUUAUUGUGUAUAUAAGUAUAGAGUCUGUUCUCA